This 560-nucleotide ribosomal RNA is filed under the name Spiromastigoides sugiyamae. RNAcentral describes it as "eukaryotic LSU rRNA". It matches the Rfam family "Eukaryotic large subunit ribosomal RNA", at positions 58 to 632 of the family's 3401-position model. The record is from RNAcentral. Lineage: Eukaryota; Fungi; Ascomycota; Eurotiomycetes; Onygenales; Spiromastigoidaceae.
AAAGAAACUAACCAGGAUUGCCUCAGUAACGGCGAGUGAAGCGGCAAGAGCUCAAAUUUGAAAUCUGGCUCCUUCGGUGCCCGAGUUGUAAUUUGCAGAGGAUGCUUCGGGGGUGGUCGCCGCCUAAGUCCCCUGGAACGGGGCGUCAGAGAGGGUGAGAAUCCCGUCUUUGGUGGGCUGGCCGCUCCCGGGUGAAGCUCCUUCGACGAGUCGAGUUGUUUGGGAAUGCAGCUCUAAGCGGGUGGUAAAUUUCAUCUAAAGCUAAAUAUUGGCUGGAGACCGAUAGCGCACAAGUAGAGUGAUCGAAAGACGAAAAGUACUUUGAAAAGAGAGUUAAACAGCACGUGAAAUUGUUGAAAGGGAAGCGCUGGCCGCCAGAUUCGGCCUUGGGGGCUCACUGAGCAUGCUUGCUUAGGCACUCCCUCAGGGUCGGGUCAGCAUCGGUUUAGGCGGUUGGUUAAAGGCUCCCGGAAUGUGUCGCCCUUCGGGGCGUCUUAUAGCCGGGGGUGCAAUGCGGCCUGCCUGGACCGAGGAUCGCGCUUCGGCUCGGAUGCUGGCAU